Molecule: long non-coding RNA, 921 nt
Filed under: Callithrix jacchus (white-tufted-ear marmoset)
Lineage: Eukaryota; Metazoa; Chordata; Mammalia; Primates; Cebidae
Description: lncRNA (ENSCJAG00000061418.2)
Source: RNAcentral
UGGCAGCCUUGGAGUUGCUCUGAACCUAUUCUGGUUCUGAGGCCUGCCGCAUUCUGGAACUUUUCCUUUUUUCUUUUGAGACAGAGUUUUGCUCUAGUCUCCCAGGCUACAGUGAAAUGGGGUGAUCUUGACUCACUGCAACCUCUCCCUCUCAGGUUCAAGCAGUUCUCCUGCCUCAGCCUCCCAAGAAGCUGGGAUUACAGGCACCUGCUACCAUUCCUGGCUAAGUUUUGUAUUUUUAGUAGAGACGAGAUUUUGCCAUGUUGGCCAGCCAGGCUGGUCUCAAAUUCCUGACCUUAGGUGAUUUACUCGCCUCGGCCUCCCAAAGUGCUGAGGCUACAGGCGUGAACCACCACACCUGGCCUGGAAUUAGUUUUUCAUCAAUUAAUCCCUUAGUUUGUACAGAGUUUUUCAUUUAACAGUUGGCAUCAGGAGUGGGAUUCAAAGUAGAGCUUCCAGGGAGCCUCAGGAGCAUUGACUGACCAAGUGAGACACCUUCCAGGGUCAAUGUGUCCAUUGGUCACUUGCAGCAACUGGGGAUCAUGGCCCAUCCUUAUACUGCAAGGCACUGUUAAAAUAGCCUGCAUACUCAAUAAAUGGCUUCUGUACAACAGCUUAUUAGAAAAAAAACACCCUGAUUCAACAAACACAAAAUUACAUCUUCAUAAAUGCAAUCAGAAGAAAACAACAGAGGAAACAGAGAAGAAUCACAGGAACUGUACAUGCUGCUCGUUGAAGGAGGUGAAACAGAGCUGCCUAGGUGAAAACCAGGAGUCCUAUCCACUAUGCCACCGCGAAGCAGAACAGCUGCAUCUGGAGCUUGGACUCUUGGCCUUCCUAACCCGGAAGAAUGGAGGAUGGGGCCACGGUUUUGCGGUUACCUGGUGCUUCUGUCUCACAGCUCUUAAGAUUCUGUCCUGA